GCAACAUGGUCUUCGUGGUGGGAAUGGAGGAGCAGAGGAGGAUGGAGGUGGGUGGUGGGAGCAGAGUAGCAGGAGUUCCAGGUCCAGGCGACGCUCGUGGAGUGGAGAAGCUCGUCGUCCAGCAUCACCAUCCCCAAUCUAGAUCUGAGAUAGAAAAGAAGAGAAAUAAUCUUGUGGAAUUUCUUAUCUGAGAUAGAAAAGAAGAGAAAGAUCUUGUGGAAGAGCUUGACGAAAAAGAAAGGGAUCUGAGAUAGAAAAGAAGAGAAAUAAUCUUGUGGAAUUUCAUAUCUGAGAAAAGAAGAGAAAGAUUCUUGUGGAAGAGCAGCUUGACAAAAAAGAAAGGGGCGGCACAACUGUACACCACCAAGAACAGG
Molecule: long non-coding RNA, 374 nt
Organism: Triticum aestivum (bread wheat)
Lineage: Eukaryota; Viridiplantae; Streptophyta; Magnoliopsida; Poales; Poaceae
Exons: 4
Source: RefSeq, a predicted model, not a curated record